UAAUGAGAAAAAAAACAGUUUGUAAAGCUUCUCAUACUUUAUUUUCACUGAAAGAGUAUUUCUUCAAUUUAUUCCAGACAUAUUUGAGUAAGUGUAUGUAUAAUUAUUUAAUUUCACUUAUGUUAAACAGAAACUUCUAUUUAGUUCUUUAUAUAAAGUGUUUCAAUUUUUUUUUUCUCAAUUUCAUUUGUAUUGUUAGUUAUUUGUUAUAUAUUAGUCAUAAAUAUUUUUACACAGUUAUUUAAAAGAUGUUGCUGUUCAGACUGACAAUUUUCCUUUCAAAAUGUGGAAAGUUAUAAAAACAUAAGAAAGUCUUGAGAAAUCAAAUUCAUUUAGGUAAAAACGUCUGAAUUCUUUGGAAAAUAUCUAGACUUUUUUGUAUGUUAAUUUUAUUAUAAUGUAAUGAAAAUGUAAACAAGACCUUCUAUUUACCAAUCUUGUACAUUUGUGAUUUUUUUUAAAAAUAGAUGUAAUUUUUGCCUUUAAAAGUUUUACUGUUAAAGAAUUUUUUUUUUCCCAUGAAAAAGUUCUUAUGCGCGUAUUACCGUGUACAUUUUUAAUAUUUAACGAAAAAUAUAUCAUUUUUACUUUUUUUCAGCUAGUUAUUUAUAAAGUUUAUUUUUUCUUUCUUAAAUUUAACCGUAAAUAAUAUAAUUAUAGUAUCUAUUAAUAAAUGAUAUAGCUUGAAUACUAUUACUCUACUCGUGUAUCAUAUAAUUAUUUUUUGUAUCAAAAUUAAACUUAUUCUUCUGCAAUUUUUUUUUUAUUUAUUUAUUAAAUCUGUAAAAAUGCAAUGUCAAAUCUAUAAAAAUAUUUUAAAAUUAGUUGAUAUAACUUGUUUAACUAAAAUAUUACAUUCUUUUUAUUUGAAUUGAUAACUUUUUGACUUAUUAUUUAUUUUGUAAAUAAAUAUAAUUUUAAAUACUUCAAGUUAUAUUUAUAUAAGUCCAAGUUUUUUGUAGUAAUAGUUGCGACUAUUACUACAUUAUUUCAAGUAAGGAAUCUUGCUUCUGUCUAUUAAUACUUUGCAAAAGAUAUCUUGAUAUGACUAUUACAAUGUUUGUAUUAUUCCUGUAAAUAUCAAAAUAUAUAUCGUUUGUUACAUUUCUUUAGUCAAUCACUGCUGAUAAAAAGCGGUGAACGAAAACCAUGAAAGGGUGCAUUGACUAUUUAAAAAAAUUAUUUCUUUGUGCAAUUUUUAAUUUAAUUGAAAAUUGUUUUGUAAUUAUUAGUGAGGAAAAGUACUGUAAAAAAAAGUUACUGCUGUACGAGACUUUUUUUUUUUUUUGUAAAAGUAUUUUGUUUCUAAUUUUCUGUUAAUUCAUAGACUUAUUUAGAAGAAUCCUAAAUUUAAUUCUCACUGGUUAUGUUUGUGAACCAUUAGUACUUUAGUUGAUUAAAAAUAUAUGUGCAAUUAGAUAAUCAAAUGUCUUGUUAGUUUGUUUUUGAAGUGAACUCUUUUCUUAGUGUUAAGAUUAUUCGUAUAUUGUGUAUUUCCAUUUCUUAAUCAUAUUUAUUUCUAUUAAUUAAAAUGCAAUGAAAAAAUCAAAUUAAAUGCAGAUUUUGUGUGGGUCUCUUUUUGUUGGUAUUUUUUCCGAUGAUAUGUGGGCAGUUUUUUUAAUCACUCUUAAAAAUUCUUAAAUGUAAGUCCUAAUAAUUAAAAUUUAACCAACAGUGAUCUUUUGAUAUUUAAUUAAUAUCCUUAUAUGUGUCAUUACAUAAUAAUCAGAUUAAUUUAAAAACAUUUUAUCCUUCCAAUGUUUGUGUUAUAUGUAUUAAUUAAAAACUAUUAAGUGCCUGAGACUAUAUUUAGGAAUAUAGUGAGUUAAUUUUUCUUAAACUGGUUAAUUUACAGAUUGACACCUGAGCAUUCUUUUUGUUUCAUUUUCAAAAUUUUUGUUUAAAAUACAUAGAAAAUUUGUCUUUACUGUACAAUAGUUUCAAUAUUACUAAAACUGGAUUAUGAUAAUUAUGAUGUUUAAGCCUCAUAUUAAUGAGCUUCAAAAAAAAUUCUGCUGGCAGAAUAUAUUUUAGUACAUUUGCUAAUGAAAGGAAUAUUCCGUAGUACAUUCUUUUUCAUUAACUUAUGACAAAUGUAAAUGAAUAGAAAAUAAAAACUUAAAAUUGUUAAGUUUCAUAGGUUUGUUUUUCUUAAAAUUUGUAUUAAUUAAUUGGAAUGUAAACAUUGCAUAUCUUUUGGAUUUAAAUAUAUAACUACUAAUAAAUUGUUUAAAUUUACAAUUGACUUGCAGUCAUCCUUUGUCUGAGAUUAUUUAUAUUUUUAUUAUUAUUAGUAGUAACUAAUCAUUUUUAUGCUUAUUUAUGUCUUACAAAUGGAUACUUUUUAAUUUUUAUAAAAUAUCAAGUUGUGGUAUUAUCAGUAAUCUAGAAUUUAAAAAAGAACAUAUCUAUUUCAUAUCUAUCACUUUCAUAAAUAAACUAUCCAUGCAUCAUCUAUUUCAUAUGCAUCAAUAAACUAUCUGUUUCAUAUGCACUUUAAUUUUUUAUUAAAUAUUUAUUUUCAGCUUUUCUAUUCUGUUUCUUAUUUUAAAGUACAAAUCGAGCUUUUUUCCAGCUGUUGAAAUGGUUUGGUAGUUACAAUUAUCAUUGUAUAUUCAGUAUUUCAUUAUAGAUGUUUAAUAGCUCUCAACACACUACAAACCUAAACUUGUUUAUCAUUAAGGACCUGGAUACUGAUUGGUAGCGUUAUUUCAAGAGUGAUUAUGUAGUGUGUAUAAUCAAGUUUUUAAACAAACAGUAAAGUGGCUACAAUGUGAUCAAUGCUCUUACUCUAAUAGUUGCA
Molecule: non-coding RNA, 2803 nt
Organism: Parasteatoda tepidariorum (common house spider)
Lineage: Eukaryota; Metazoa; Arthropoda; Arachnida; Araneae; Theridiidae
Source: RefSeq, a predicted model, not a curated record